UUUUAAUGGAGAUAAUCAUUAAUCCAACCUGCUCAAUGAUAUUAAAUAGCCGCAAUUAUAUUGUGCUAAGGUAGCAUAAUCAUUUGUCUUUUAAUUAAAGACUAGAACGAAAGGUUCAACAUUCAAAUUUCUAUAAAAUAUAAAAACAUUUAAAUUAUUCUAAAUAUAAAAAAAUAUUUAUAAAUAAAAAAGACAAUAAGACCCUAUUAAACUUCACUGUAGUUUAACUGGGGCAGUUAAUAAAAUAAAAUUUUAAUUAAAUUAAAUUAUCAAAUGACCUAAUACAAUUAAUUACUUGAACAAGUUACUAUAGGGAUAACAGCGUAAUAAUUUUCUAAAGAUCUUAUUUAAAAAAUUGAUUGCGACCUCGAUGUUGAAUAAUUACCUAAAUGACGCAACAGUCAUAUAAGGAAGUCUGUUCGACUUAUAAAUAAUUACA
Molecule: ribosomal RNA, 439 nt
Filed under: Saltonia incerta
Lineage: Eukaryota; Metazoa; Arthropoda; Arachnida; Araneae; Dictynidae
Description: partial 16S ribosomal RNA
Rfam family: Bacterial large subunit ribosomal RNA
Source: RNAcentral